RNAcentral lists this unclassified non-coding RNA (391 nucleotides) under soil metagenome. RNAcentral describes it as "partial contains 5.8S ribosomal RNA, internal transcribed spacer 2, and large subunit ribosomal RNA". The stretch from base 1 to 122 matches the Rfam family "5.8S ribosomal RNA", at positions 35 to 154 of the family's 154-position model. The record is from RNAcentral.
GAUGAAGAACGUAGCGAAAUGCGAUACUUGGUGUGAAUUGCAGAAUCCCGUGAACCAUCGAGUCUUUGAACGCAAGUUGCGCCCGAAGCCACUAGGCCGAGGGCACGCCUGCCUGGGCGUCACACGUCGUUCCCCCCCCAUCUACUCCUUCGGGAUUGCGGGGGGCGGAUGAUGGCCUCCCGUGCGCCUCGUCGCGCGGUUGGCAUAAAUACCAAGUCCUCGGCGACGCACGCCACGACAAUCGGUGGUUGCGAAACCUCGGUUGCCCGUCGUGUGCGGUCGUCGCGCAUCGAGGGCUCGAAAAAAUUGCCGGGCUCCGGCUCGGCUUUCAACGCGACCCCAGGUCAGGCGGGGUUACCCGCUGAAUUUAAGCAUAUCAAUAAGCGGAGGA